GCUGGCGGCAGGCCUAACACAUGCAAGUCGAGCGGUAACAGUUUCUAGCUUGCUAGAAGAUGGCGAGCGGCGGACGGGUGAGUAACGCGUAGAAAUCUACCUAGUAGUGGGGGAUAGCCCAGAGAAAUUUGGAUUAAUACCGCAUACGCCCUACGGGGGAAAGCGGGGGAUCUUCGGACCUCGUGCUAUUAGAUGAGUCUGCGUCGGAUUAGCUUGUUGGUGAGGUAAUGGCUCACCAAGGCGACGAUCCGUAGCUGGUCUGAGAGGAUGACCAGCCACACUGGAACUGAGACACGGUCCAGACUCCUACGGGAGGCAGCAGUGGGGAAUAUUGCACAAUGGGCGCAAGCCUGAUGCAGCCAUGCCGCGUGUGUGAAGAGGGCCUUAGGGUUGUAAAGCACUUUCAGCAGUGAGGAAAGGGGUGUCGUUAAUAGCGCCAUCCUGUGACGUUAACUGCAGAAGAAGGACCGGCUAACUCCGUG
This 482-nucleotide ribosomal RNA is filed under the name uncultured bacterium. RNAcentral describes it as "bacterial SSU rRNA". It matches the Rfam family "Bacterial small subunit ribosomal RNA", at positions 35 to 507 of the family's 1533-position model. The record is from RNAcentral.